Lactuca sativa (garden lettuce) is the source of this 1134-nucleotide non-coding RNA. Lineage: Eukaryota; Viridiplantae; Streptophyta; Magnoliopsida; Asterales; Asteraceae. The record is from RefSeq and is a predicted model, not a curated record.
GCAAAAUUUGGAAUGUCGGUUUAACUAAACUUUCCAUAUUUUCAAGUUAUUUAAUGCCAAUUCUUAAUUAAAAUCAUGAUCUUCCAUAAACGGUUCGUUUGACUACAAAAGAGCGCCAGGCUCUUGUACUCUUCGGUAUUCAUAUUUCUUCUUCCUGAUCUCUCGUAUCCACCUUUGUUUUCAUCAAAUUACGAGGUUAAUCGUUUUCCUCGUUCUUGGUAUGCUCUUAGUCGUUUUCUUUCUCUUCAUCGAAAAUACAUAUGCGUUUUUGUAGGGUUUUAAACACCAGAUUCUUGGGUUCUGAAAGGAACACUUAGAUUUUAGUCGUUUUCUCCGGUUCCAGUAAAUAAUGCCACUUCCAAAACAGAACUAAUCUCUAGAAAUUGGCGACAGACGAUGAUGUCGGAGAGCAAGCGUUCUUAGCUGUUCUUCUUUCAUGCUCUGCAUUUUUUCUUCAGGAGAUGUGUGAUCCACACUACGACCCCGACGCGUUUUUGCCUUUGUGUCUUCCCAAAACCUAUUUCUAUCCAACUCCAACUCCAACCACAAUUUCUCUUUUCCACAAACCUUUCCGCUCUCCAAAUCCCCUGCAACAAUUCGAAUCAUUCACACUUGCUUACUCGAUUAGAGACAACACUUUGGAUUGUUGUUAGGAUCAUUGUGGGAUAUAACAACAAGAAAUACUACAUUGAUAUCAUUGAAUCAAAGCCUUCAAAUCCAAUAACCAUCAUUGAAACCGAUUGUGGUCUUGAUUACAAGGAACCAAAGAGGCCCCACCCCUAUCAUCCUUGCCACCUGACCAAGAGGAAGCAAAAUUGAACCUGUUUAAAAUACCAACCACCUCCUGUUUCCACCACUUCCGCCUCCAAUGGAAAACAACUGGCGGAGGUGUGCCACUGCCGCCUCCUACCGGUUCUAGCUCCCACCAAACUCAGGGAAAACUCGUGUUCAGUUCUAAUGCCGCCUCUCAAAAGCAAAAGGCACCAAUUAUUUGAAGAUGAAACUGAAGGCAUUUGACACUUAAGUUGAGAUGUAGGAAUUCUCUUUUAGUGCUGGUUCUUGUCACUUAUAGUCGAGAAACUGAUACUUCAAGUUUACUGAGAGAUAGCAAAAUACUUUCAGCUCUUAUUCCAG